GCCAGACUCCUACGGGAGGCAGCAGUGGGGAAUAUUGCACAAUGGGGGAAACCCUGAUGCAGCGACGCCGCGUGAGUGAAGAAGUAUUUCGGUAUGUAAAGCUCUAUCAGCAGGAACGAGACAAGACGGUACCUGACUAAGAAGCCCCGGCUAACUACGUGCCAGCAGCCGCGGUAAUACGUAGGGGGCAAGCGUUAUCCGGAAUCACUGGGUGUAAAGGGAGCGUAGACGGCUGUGCAAGCCUGAAGUGAAAGGCGGGGGCCCAACCCCCGGACUGCUUUGGGAACUGUACGGCUGGAGUGCAGGAGAGGUAAGUGGAAUUCCUAGUGUAGCGGUGAAAUGCGUAGAUAUUAGGAGGAACACCAGUGGCGAAGGCGGCUUACUGGACUGUAACUGACGUUGAGGCUCGAAAGCGUGGGGAGCAAACAGGAUUAGAUACCCCCGUA
This 446-nucleotide ribosomal RNA is filed under the name uncultured bacterium. RNAcentral describes it as "bacterial SSU rRNA". It matches the Rfam family "Bacterial small subunit ribosomal RNA", at positions 330 to 792 of the family's 1533-position model. The record is from RNAcentral.